RNAcentral lists this long non-coding RNA (353 nucleotides) under Pan troglodytes (chimpanzee). RNAcentral's name for it is "long non-coding RNA NONPTRT013650". Lineage: Eukaryota; Metazoa; Chordata; Mammalia; Primates; Hominidae. The record is from RNAcentral.
AUUUCACACACAAAAAAAUGGAUAUUACUUUUGUUCCUCACCUUGACCAUUUAACAAUAUUGCAGAAGAUGAAACCCGACUCUGCUGUCCUUUAACCUUGUGUGUCUAGAAUUUCAUUUUAUCUUUUAGGUUUAUGUAGUUGAAGUGCUAUAAGGUAAAGGAUGGCCCAUCUACUUUAGGUGCCAACCAAGAUGGAUGACUUGUCCUAGAUGAUAUAUAUUUUUUCAAGCUUGACUUAGAUAUGAAGACUAAAAUUUCUAAAACCAGAUUUUUCCUCUAACUUAGUUAGAUAUAGGGUUUGUAUAAUGCCAUAUAACACGAAUUCUUUCAUUCAGCAGUUAUUUAGUGGAUAC